AAGCAUUGUUUCUAGAUCUGAGUAUAUCAAUAUUACCUUGUUCAGAACUUAAAGAGAAAUCUUGAGUUUAUGGACUUCAGGGGGAGUAUGGUCACAAGGCUGAAACUUAAAGGAAUUGACGGAAGGGCACACCAGGAGUGGAGCCUGCGGCUUAAUUUGACUCAACACGGGAAAACUUACCAAGACCGAACAGUAGAAGGAAUGACAGAUUAAGAGUUCUUUCAUGAUUUAUUGGGUAGUGGUGCAUGGCCGUUCUUAGUUGGUGGAGUGAUUUGUCAGGUUAAUUCCGGUAACGAACGAGACUGAAACCUAUUAAUUAGUUUUCUGCCUAUAAGACAGAAAUGUUCGCAAGAACAGGUGCGUAAGUACCACUUCUUAAAGGGACACAUUUCAA
RNAcentral lists this ribosomal RNA (394 nucleotides) under Entamoeba histolytica. RNAcentral describes it as "SSU rRNA". It matches the Rfam family "Eukaryotic small subunit ribosomal RNA", at positions 1034 to 1429 of the family's 1831-position model. Lineage: Eukaryota; Evosea; Mastigamoebida; Endamoebidae. The record is from RNAcentral.